UAUGUACAUCUGGAUUUCCCCUUAAUUUACAAGAGGUGGCGCCACCGCAAAUAAAUAGCUGCGAUAACGGAUUGAUAUUGAUUUAGGAACUUAAGUGUUAAUUUCUUUCUAUUUAUAAUGCAAUUCAUUGCUCUUGUAUCGUGAACUUUGAACAUUCGCGCUUGACAAAAAGAAUAAAUCUAAUCUUCGUGACUGGCAAUAUUGUCUGGCGGAUGUAUUCUACCUAUUAUAUUCUAAUCAUGGAUUUUUCUAAGAAAAUCGAUUCUUCAAUUUACGCGGACAACAAAUUAUUUUUCUAUGUUGACUUGUGGAAAGCACAAUCAUAAGCAUUAACCUUACUCGCAUAACACUGACUACGAUCAAAAAUGAAGUUUUGCUUCGUUCGAAAAGAAGAGAUUGUUUUAGAGUAAAAUACGAACAAUAACAACGAAUAUGAAAAAUUUAUUCUGAUCUUUCUAAAUUUUCAUUACUUUCUCGUGCAACUUACACUGACGUUUUUCUUAAAUAUCCUUUUUUUUUUAACCGGAAGACUCCAUUUAUGCGAUCUACAUGUA
Molecule: unclassified non-coding RNA, 554 nt
Filed under: Bombus terrestris (buff-tailed bumblebee)
Lineage: Eukaryota; Metazoa; Arthropoda; Insecta; Hymenoptera; Apidae
Description: misc RNA ENSBTSG00005032301.1
Source: RNAcentral